RNAcentral lists this unclassified non-coding RNA (395 nucleotides) under soil metagenome. RNAcentral's name for it is "partial contains 5.8S ribosomal RNA, internal transcribed spacer 2, and large subunit ribosomal RNA". The stretch from base 1 to 120 matches the Rfam family "5.8S ribosomal RNA", at positions 35 to 154 of the family's 154-position model. The record is from RNAcentral.
GAUGAAGAACGUAGCGAAAUGCGAUAAGUAAUGUGAAUUGCAGAAUUCAGUGAAUCAUCGAAUCUUUGAACGCACCUUGCGCCUUUUGGUAUUCCGAAAGGCACACCUGUUUGAGCGUUAUGAAUACCUCAAUCUCCAUCUUUUCUUCGGAUUGAUGGGUGACUUGGAUGUUGAGCCCUGCUGGUAUGCUAUAUCAGCUGGCUUUAAACUUAUUAGCCGGCUCUGUACUGGAUCGGUUUGACUCGACGUGAUAAUAUUAUCGUUGAGGAUGCAUGUCUCAUGCAGCCGGAAAGUAUCAAAGCAGCUUCUAGCUUGCCUUUAGUGCACUUUUACAUUUUAGACCUCAGAUCAGGUGGGACUACCCGCUGAACUUAAGCAUAUCAAUAAGCGGAGGA